UAGUGGCGAACGGGUGAGUAACACGUGGGCAAUCUGCCCUGCACUCUGGGACAAGCCCUGGAAACGGGGUCUAAUACCGGAUAACACCCCCUCUCGCAUGGGAGGGGGUUGAAAGCUCCGGCGGUGCAGGAUGAGCCCGCGGCCUAUCAGCUUGUUGGUGAGGUAGAAGCUCACCAAGGCGACGACGGGUAGCCGGCCUGAGAGGGCGACCGGCCACACUGGGACUGAGACACGGCCCAGACUCCUACGGGAGGCAGCAGUGGGGAAUAUUGCACAAUGGGCGAAAGCCUGAUGCAGCGACGCCGCGUGAGGGAUGACGGCCUUCGGGUUGUAAACCUCUUUCAGCAGGGAAGAAGCGAAAGUGACGGUACCUGCAGAAGAAGCGCCGGCUAACUACGUGCCAGCAGCCGCGGUAAUACGUAGGGCGCAAGCGUUGUCCGGAAUUAUUGGGCGUAAAGAGCUCGUAGGCGGCUUGUCACGUCGGUUGU
This 488-nucleotide ribosomal RNA is filed under the name Streptomyces sp. 313H05. Its description in RNAcentral is "bacterial SSU rRNA". It matches the Rfam family "Bacterial small subunit ribosomal RNA", at positions 93 to 595 of the family's 1533-position model. Lineage: Bacteria; Bacillati; Actinomycetota; Actinomycetes; Kitasatosporales; Streptomycetaceae. The record is from RNAcentral.